This 77-nucleotide transfer RNA is filed under the name bacterium. RNAcentral's name for it is "tRNA-Glu". It matches the Rfam family "tRNA". From Rfam's summary of the family: Transfer RNA (tRNA) molecules are approximately 80 nucleotides in length. Their secondary structure includes four short double-helical elements and three loops (D, anti-codon, and T loops). The record is from RNAcentral.
GGUCCGUUGGUGAAGGGGCUUAACACAUAACCCUCUCAAGGUUACAUUCACGGGUUCGAAUCUCGUACGGAUCACCA